This 1038-nucleotide ribosomal RNA is filed under the name Triticum aestivum (bread wheat). RNAcentral describes it as "partial small subunit ribosomal RNA". Lineage: Eukaryota; Viridiplantae; Streptophyta; Magnoliopsida; Poales; Poaceae. The record is from RNAcentral.
AUGUUGGGGGUUGGUGAGAUGAACCACGGGCUCGAGGCGAAUGGGCACGGCAAGCCGGUGGCCAUGGCGAAGCAGCAGCAGCUGCAGCAGAGUGGAGAUCACGAGGAGACCCAGUGGUACGAGGAGGAGGUCCAUGACGACCUCAAGUUCUGCUACACCUUGAACAGCGUGCUGCACCGAGGGACAAGCAAGUACCAGGAGAUUGCCCUGGUUGAUACGAAGUGUUUCGGGAAGGCUCUGAUAAUCGACGGGAAGAUGCAGAGCGCGGAGGCCGACGAGUUCAUCUACCAUGAGUCCUUGAUACACCCGCCGCUUCUAUUCCAUCCCAACCCGACCACGGUGUACAUCAUGGGAGGCGGCGAGGGCUCCGCGGCGAGGGAGGCGCUGAGGCACAAGACCGUCCAAAGGGUGGUGAUGUGCGACAUGGACGAGGAGGUGGUGCACUUCUGUCGGACGCACCUGAGCGUCAACUGGGAAGCGUUCGCCAGCGACAAGCUCUGCCUCGUCAUCAACGAUGCCAGGGCUGAGCUAGAGAAGAGGCGGGAGGAGAAGUUCGACGUGAUAGUGGGGGACCUCGCGGAUCCCAUGGAGGGAGGCCCCUGCUACCAGCUCUACACCAGGUCCUUCUACGAGCAGGUCCUCAAGCCCAGGCUGCACGACGGUGGCAUCUUCGUCACACAGGCUGGACCAGCCGGCGUCCUGACGCACAAGGAGGUCUUCUCGUCCAUCUACAACACCCUUAGGCACGUCUUCAAGCAUGUGAAAGCAUACACUGCCCAUGUGCCAUCCUUCGCUGACACCUGGGGCUGGGUCAUGGCAUCAGAUCACCCCUUCACGCUCACCGCCCAGCAGAUCAACGAGAGGAUCACGGACAGGAUCGACGGCGAGCUGUCGUACCUCGACGGGGAGACCCUUAUUUCUUCAACCACUCUCAACAAGACCGUCUUCCACUCGCUAUUGAAUGAGACGCAUGUGUACGCGGAGGAUGACGCGAGGUUCGUCCACGGACAUGGGACUGGGAGGGCAGGCCAUGCUUAA